AAUGAGAGAAAUACCUCAUUUGUCCCCAUACAUAUCUCUAUGGGUUGCAAAAUUGCAGCUAAACCCCUCAACUUUCACUUUAAUACACUGCCCGAACUGGGCAGUUCGCGCAGGCAGGGACCGGUCUCUCCUUUAGGGACCGGUUCCCGAACGUCGUCCCAGCGCAGCCACAACUGCUGCGCGCAGUGCAACCGGUCUCUCUUUGGGAGACCGGUCUCUCGGGGACCGGUCUCUCGGACAGGGAUCGGUUCCCGAGAGCUACUUUCUCAGGACUUAGCCGAUUUUUCGGCUGUCUCAAUUCAUGCGCGUUCGGGGACCGGUCUCUCCCACCAGGGACCGGUCCCCGAGAGCUCAAAAUCUGCGGUUUUGCAGAAUUUGAUUCUUUAGCUCUCGAAAACCUCCCGUAACUCACUUUUAAUCACUUUAACACCUUCGGACUUUCCGAAGUAUACCAUCCUCGCACUUUGGUCAAUUUGACUAAAGUUCGAUAUUUAUUUUCCGAAGUUUUGGCAUAUUACAUUCUCCACCCCUUAAAAUAAUUUCGUCCGCGAAAUUACACAUACCUUAACUCGUCGAUUCGAAUAGAUGCGGGUACUCUCGCCGCAUAGUUUCCUCGAGCUCCCA
This 624-nucleotide long non-coding RNA is filed under the name Ananas comosus (pineapple). RNAcentral's name for it is "long non-coding RNA (ACOM_LNC040803)". Lineage: Eukaryota; Viridiplantae; Streptophyta; Magnoliopsida; Poales; Bromeliaceae. The record is from RNAcentral.